GGGCGUAAAGAGCUCGUAGGCGGUUUGUCGCGUCUGCUGUGAAAUCCCGAGGCUCAACCUCGGGCCUGCAGUGGGUACGGGCAAACUAGAGUGUGGUAGGGGAGAUUGGAACUCCUGGUGUAGCGGUGGAAUGCGCAGAUAUCAGGAAGAACACCGAUGGCGAAGGCAGAUCUCUGGGCCAUUACUGACGCUGAGGAGCGAAAGCGUGGGGAGCGAACAGGAUUAGAUACCCUGGUAGUCCACGCCGUAAACGUUGGGAACUAGAUGUAGGGUCCAUUCCACGGAUUCUGUGUCGCAGCUAACGCAUUAAGUUCCCCGCCUGGGGAGUACGGCCGCAAGGCUAAAACUCAAAGGAAUUGACGGGGGCCCGCACAAGCGGCGGAGCAUGCGGAUUAAUUCGAUGCAACGCGAAGAACCUUACCAAGGCUUGACAUAUACCGGAAAAGCGUAGAAAUACGCUCCCCGUAAGGUCGGUAUACAGGUGGUGCAUGGUUGUCGUCAGCUCGUGUCGUGAGAUGUUGGGUUAAGUCCCGCAACGAGCGCAACCCUCGUCCUAUGUUGCCAGCACGUAAAGGUGGGAACUCAUGGGAGACUGCCGGGGUCAACUCGGAGGAAGGUAAU
Molecule: ribosomal RNA, 621 nt
Filed under: uncultured Actinomycetes bacterium
Lineage: Bacteria; Bacillati; Actinomycetota; Actinomycetes
Description: bacterial SSU rRNA
Rfam family: Bacterial small subunit ribosomal RNA
Source: RNAcentral